This 561-nucleotide ribosomal RNA is filed under the name Citricoccus sp. Hp11. Its description in RNAcentral is "bacterial SSU rRNA". It matches the Rfam family "Bacterial small subunit ribosomal RNA", at positions 50 to 624 of the family's 1533-position model. The record is from RNAcentral. Lineage: Bacteria; Bacillati; Actinomycetota; Actinomycetes; Micrococcales; Micrococcaceae.
CGUAAGUGACAUUCGAACGCGGAACUCCGCUUGCUGGGGUGGAUGAGUGGCGAACGGGUGAGUAACACGUGAGUAACCUUCCCUUGACUCUGGGAUAAGCCCGGGAAACUGGGUCUAAUACCGGAUAUGACUUCUCAUCGCAUGGUGGGGGGUGGAAAGAUUUAUCGGUCUUGGAUGGACUCGCGGCCUAUCAGCUUGUUGGUGAGGUAAUGGCUCACCAAGGCGACGACGGGUAGCCGGCCUGAGAGGGUGACCGGCCACACUGGGACUGAGACACGGCCCAGACUCCUACGGGAGGCAGCAGUGGGGAAUAUUGCACAAUGGGCGCAAGCCUGAUGCAGCGACGCCGCGUGAGGGAUGACGGCCUUCGGGUUGUAAACCUCUUUCAGUAGGGAAGAAGCGAAAGUGACGGUACCUGCAGAAGAAGCGCCGGCUAACUACGUGCCAGCAGCCGCGGUAAUACGUAGGGCGCGAGCGUUAUCCGGAAUUAUUGGGCGUAAAGAGCUCGUAGGCGGUUUGUCGCGUCUGCCGUGAAAGUCCGGGGCUUAACCCCGGAUCUGC